This 30-nucleotide non-coding RNA is filed under the name Homo sapiens (human). Lineage: Eukaryota; Metazoa; Chordata; Mammalia; Primates; Hominidae. The record is from RNAcentral.
UACCCUGCAGUGGGGAAGUUGUCCUGGCAU